AGUUGGCAUUGAUACAUUGUUCAGAAUCUUUCUAAAAACCUCCGUUCUUUUUCCGACCCCAGUGACCGCUAAUUGUGGAAAACAAUGUACUGGACUAUUCAAGAAAGAAAUAUUUUGCCUGUUCAUCGACUCAGCCAAUAAGGUUUUCUUCAGUGUCGAAAUUGGUAUGGAGACGUGGAUGGAGAUUUGAGUCUUAGGAAUUUGGGAAGAGCUCAAGUGAUUCAGAAUGAAAAGACCUUGGCACAGACCUGUUAAGGAAGCUCCAUAUAAGGGCCACCGGGGUUGGCUGAGUCAGAAUACCAGCCAUGUGGCAUGUCGCAUGGGGCAAGAGCUGUGCUGCCCAUGGGAGUCCAGAGAAGGAGCACACUAAGGACCAACACCAGGUAGGCCUUGCCCAAACAGGACUCUAAAGAAGUUGGCCAAAAGAGGGUUGCAGAUCUAGUAGUUUAGAAGUGGUGCCAAGAUAAGGUCAGAUUCCUUAUCUUGAGCCACCUUGAGGGU
Molecule: long non-coding RNA, 501 nt
Filed under: Homo sapiens (human)
Lineage: Eukaryota; Metazoa; Chordata; Mammalia; Primates; Hominidae
Description: non-protein coding lnc-KLF7-1:36
Source: RNAcentral